AUAUCAAUAAGCGGAGGAAAAGAAACUAACGAGGAUUCCCCUAGUAACGGCGAGUGAAGCGGGAAUAGCUCAAAUUUGAAAUCUCAUGGGUUUUUUACCUAUGCGAAUUGUAGUUUAGGGAAGUGUUUUCGGAGGCAAGUCAGAUAAAAGUCCCUUGGAACAGGGCAUCAUAGAGGGUGAGAAUCCCGUCUUUGAUCUGAACUUUGUCUCUAUGUGAUACACUUUCCAAGAGUCGGGUUGUUUGGGAAUGCAGCCCAAAAUGGGUGGUAAAUUUCUUCUAAAGCUAAAUACCGGCCAGAGACCGAUAGCGCACAAGUA
RNAcentral lists this ribosomal RNA (318 nucleotides) under uncultured Mesochytriales. RNAcentral's name for it is "partial large subunit ribosomal RNA". It matches the Rfam family "Eukaryotic large subunit ribosomal RNA", at positions 40 to 350 of the family's 3401-position model. Lineage: Eukaryota; Fungi; Chytridiomycota; Chytridiomycetes; Mesochytriales. The record is from RNAcentral.